This 298-nucleotide long non-coding RNA is filed under the name Sinocyclocheilus grahami. RNAcentral's name for it is "lncRNA (ENSSGRG00000001980.1)". Lineage: Eukaryota; Metazoa; Chordata; Actinopteri; Cypriniformes; Cyprinidae. The record is from RNAcentral.
AAGAAAUUUCCAGUCUUGGACACGAACAAAGCACAGUGGGAGACUCUGGAGGCCUGGAUUAAAACUACAUUCGGCUUGAGCCAUUUUCAAGUGAAAUAUUUUGACGAGGACAACGAGGAGGUGUGCAUAAACAGUCAAGAUGAAUAUACAGAAGCUCUAAAGGUAAGAACACCAGUCUUUUUUGUGAUGCACAAGCCAAAGCUGAGCCAUGCAUGCUGAUAUCAUUAGAAUUUGUUAAAUUCCCCUGGCUUUUAACAAAAUGUUUUCGUGAUUUAUUUUUUCAUUUAGAGUGCAUUUA